UACGGGGGGGGCGAGCGUAGUCCGAAGUUACUGGGCGUAAAGCGCGUGUAGGCGGGUUGUUAAGUCCGCUGUGAAAGCCCGGUGCUCAACGCCGGAGGGUCGGUGGAUACUGGCAGUCUUGAAGUGGCUAGGGGGAAAUGGAAUUACCGGUGUAGCGGUGAAAUGCGUAGAUAUCGGUAGGAACACCAGUGGCGAAGGCGGUUUCCUGGAGCUAACUUGACGCUGAGACGCGAAAGCUGGGGGAGCAAACGGG
RNAcentral lists this ribosomal RNA (253 nucleotides) under uncultured bacterium. RNAcentral describes it as "partial 16S ribosomal RNA". It matches the Rfam family "Bacterial small subunit ribosomal RNA", at positions 524 to 776 of the family's 1533-position model. The record is from RNAcentral.